GGAAUAGCCUUCCAGUGGGAGCAGUAACAGUGAUAUAGAAAGGGUAGUAGAUACCUGGGAAUAGCCUCCCAGUGGGAUAUAAAGGGUAGUAGAUACCUGGAAUAGCCUUCCAGUUGGAGCAGUAACAGUGAUAUAGAAAGGGUAGUAGAUACCUGGAAUAGCCUUCCAGUGGAAGCAGUAACAGUGAUAUAGAAAGGGUAGUAGAUACCUGGAAUAGCUUUCCAGUGGGAGCAGUAACAGUGAUAUAGAACGGGUAGUAGAUACCUGGAAUUGCCUUCCAGUGGGAGCAGUAAUAGUGAUACAGAACGGGUAGUAGAUACCUGGAAUAGCCUUCCAGUGGGAGCAGUAACAGUGAUAUAGAAAGGGAAGUAGAUACCGGGAAUAGCCUUCCAGUGGGAGCAGUAACAGUGAUAUAGAAAGGGUAGUAGAUACCUGGGAAUAGCCUCCCAGUGGGAUAUAAAGGAUAGUAGAUACCUGGAAUAGCCUUCCAGUUGGAGCAGUAACAGUGAUAUAGAAAGGGUAGUAGAUACCUGGAAUAGCCUUCCAGUGGAAGCAGUAACAGUGAUAUAGAAAGGGUAGUAGAUACCUGGAAUAGCUUUCCAGUGGGAGCAGUAACAGUGAUAUAGAACGGGUAGUAGAUACCUGGAAUUGCCUUCCAGUGGGAGCAGUAAUAGUGAUACAGAACGGGUAGUAGAUACCUGGAAUAGCCUUCCAGUGGGAGCAGUAACAGUGAUAUAGAAAGGGAAGUAGAUACCAAGGGAAGUCAAAACGAAGCCAAAGUCAAAUACCAGAAAAAUGCCAACACCCUCUCAGAUAACCAUAUGCAUGAUAUAGACAGUGCACUGACAAAAAGGUAAUUUGGGUUUAUAUAACCCUCCUU
Non-coding RNA from Pelobates cultripes (western spadefoot toad), 880 nucleotides. The record is from the annotation of a GenBank genome assembly. NCBI's taxonomy places the organism in Eukaryota, Metazoa, Chordata, Amphibia, Anura, Pelobatidae.